This is a non-coding RNA of Rattus norvegicus (Norway rat), 69 nucleotides long. Lineage: Eukaryota; Metazoa; Chordata; Mammalia; Rodentia; Muridae. The record is from Rfam.
GGGGAUUUAGCUCAGUGGUAGAGCGCUUGGCUAGCAAGCGAAAGGCCCUGGGUUCGGUCCCCAGCUCCG